AUCAGGUGAUUUGAAGGUUUUUGUCUAAUGAAACUAAUAUAUUCUUUCUUACAAAGUUCAAGUAUCACACAAAUUAUAGACACAGAGUAAGUGCCCACAAUCCCAUAUCGCAGCAGUAACCACAGUAGAUUCCUCCAACUCUUUUAUAUAAACGUUAAUAUAUAAUCUUUGAAUAACAAAAUUAGGAUUAUACUUACGUUACUUGUAAUGAAU
RNAcentral lists this long non-coding RNA (213 nucleotides) under Bos taurus (domestic cattle). Its description in RNAcentral is "long non-coding RNA NONBTAT015372". The record is from RNAcentral. Lineage: Eukaryota; Metazoa; Chordata; Mammalia; Artiodactyla; Bovidae.